UACAGAGGUGGCAAGCGUUGUUCGGAAUUACUGGACGUAAAGGGCGCGUAGGCGGCCAUCUAAGUCAGACGUGAAAUCCCCCGGCUUAACCUGGGAACUGCGUCUGAUACUGGAUGGCUUGAGUUCGGGAGAGGGAUGCGGAAUUCCAGGUGUAGCGGUGAAAUGCGUAGAUAUCUGGAGGAACACCGGUGGCGAAGGCGGCAUCCUGGACCGAUACUGACGCUGAGGAGCGAAAGCCAGGGGAGCAAACGGG
Molecule: ribosomal RNA, 253 nt
Filed under: uncultured bacterium
Lineage: Bacteria
Description: partial 16S ribosomal RNA
Rfam family: Bacterial small subunit ribosomal RNA
Source: RNAcentral